RNAcentral lists this small RNA (293 nucleotides) under Listeria innocua. RNAcentral's name for it is "Listeria sRNA rliB". It matches the Rfam family "Listeria sRNA rliB", at positions 17 to 312 of the family's 360-position model. Lineage: Bacteria; Bacillati; Bacillota; Bacilli; Caryophanales; Listeriaceae. The record is from RNAcentral.
UGCGUUUUAACUACUUAUUAUGAAAUGUAAAUAAAACCUUGUAUAAACCGUAAGCAGCUAAACCGAGUUUUAACUACUUAUUAUGAAAUGUAAAUUCUUCAGCAAAAUGUUGAAUGUCAAACUUGCGCUGUGUUUUAACUACUUAUUAUUAAAUGUAAAUGUUCUAAGUUUAGAAAUAUCCCACGUGUACGUUUGGUUUUAACUACUUAUUAUGAAAUGUAAAUGUGAAAAUAAAAUCUAGACAUUCUAAAGCGCUUUUGUUUUAACUACUUAUUAUGAAAUGUAAAUUAAUG